UAGGGAAUAUUGGACAAUGGGGGAAACCCUGAUCCAGCCAUGCCGCGUGAGUGAUGAAGGCCUUAGGGUUGUAAAGCUCUUUUGUCAGGGAAGAUAAUGACGGUACCUGAAGAAUAAGUCCCGGCUAACUUCGUGCCAGCAGCCGCGGUAAUACGAAGGGGACUAGCGUUGUUCGGAAUCACUGGGCGUAAAGCGGGCGCAGGCGGAUAUUCAAGUCAGGGGUGAAAUCCUGAGGCUUAACCUCAGAAUUGCCUUUGAGACUGUAUAUCUGGAGUGUGUGAGGGGGUAGCGGAAUUCCGAAUGUAGAGGUGAAAUUCGUAGAUAUUCGGAGGAACACCGGUGGCGAAGGCGGCUACCUGGCACACAACUGACGCUGAGGCCCGAAAGCGUGGGGAUCAAACAGGAUUAGAUACCCCCGUAGUCC
This 424-nucleotide ribosomal RNA is filed under the name uncultured bacterium. RNAcentral describes it as "bacterial SSU rRNA". It matches the Rfam family "Bacterial small subunit ribosomal RNA", at positions 355 to 796 of the family's 1533-position model. The record is from RNAcentral.